GAUGAACGCUAGCUACAGGCUUAACACAUGCAAGUCGAGGGGUAACGAGAGGAAAGCUCGCUUUCCUUGUCGACGUCCGGCGCACGGGUGAGUAACGCGUAUCCAACCUGCCCCCAACUAGGGAAUAACCUUGCGAAAGUAAGACUAAUACCCUAUAAUUUCCUCAGAUGACAUCUGACGAGGAAUAAAGAUUUAUCGGUUGUGGAUGGGGAUGCGUCUGAUUAGCUUGUUGGCGGGGUAACGGCCCACCAAGGCAACGAUCAGUAGGGGUUCUGAGAGGAAGGUCCCCCACAUUGGAACUGAGACACGGUCCAAACUCCUACGGGAGGCAGCAGUGAGGAAUAUUGGUCAAUGGGCGGAAGCCUGAACCAGCCAAGUAGCGUGCAGGAUGACGGCCCUAUGGGUUGUAAACUGCUUUUAUACAGGAAUAAAGUUAGCCACGUGUGGUUAUUUGUAGGUACUGUAUGAAUAAGGACCGGCUAAUUCCGUGCCAGCCGCCGCGGUAA
RNAcentral lists this ribosomal RNA (506 nucleotides) under uncultured bacterium. RNAcentral's name for it is "partial 16S ribosomal RNA". It matches the Rfam family "Bacterial small subunit ribosomal RNA", at positions 28 to 523 of the family's 1533-position model. The record is from RNAcentral.